Molecule: ribosomal RNA, 1192 nt
Filed under: human gut metagenome
Description: bacterial SSU rRNA
Rfam family: Bacterial small subunit ribosomal RNA
Source: RNAcentral
AAACUCCUACGGGAGGCAGCAGUGAGGAAUAUUGGUCAAUGGACGGAAGUCUGAACCAGCCAUGCCGCGUGCAGGAAGACGGCUCUAUGAGUUGUAAACUGCUUUUGUACGAGGGUAAACGCAGAUACGUGUAUCUGCCUGAAAGUAUCGUACGAAUAAGGAUCGGCUAACUCCGUGCCAGCAGCCGCGGUAAUACGGAGGAUCCAAGCGUUAUCCGGAUUUAUUGGGUUUAAAGGGUGCGUAGGCGGUUUAGUAAGUCAGCGGUGAAAUUUUGGUGCUUAACACCAAACGUGCCGUUGAUACUGCUGGGCUAGAGAGUAGUUGCGGUAGGCGGAAUGUAUGGUGUAGCGGUGAAAUGCUUAGAGAUCAUACAGAACACCGAUUGCGAAGGCAGCUUACCAAACUAUAUCUGACGUUGAGGCACGAAAGCGUGGGGAGCAAACAGGAUUAGAUACCCUGGUAGUCCACGCAGUAAACGAUGAUAGCUCGUUGUCGGCGAUACACAGUCGGUGACUAAGAGAAAUCGAUAAGCUAUCCACCUGGGGAGUACGUUCGCAAGAAUGAAACUCAAAGGAAUUGACGGGGGCCCGCACAAGCGGAGGAACAUGUGGUUUAAUUCGAUGAUACGCGAGGAACCUUACCCGGGCUUGAAAGUUACUGACGAUUCUGGAAACAGGAUUUCCCUUCGGGGCAGGAAACUAGGUGCUGCAUGGUUGUCGUCAGCUCGUGCCGUGAGGUGUCGGGUUAAGUCCCAUAACGAGCGCAACCCCUACUGAUAGUUGCCAUCAGAGCGUNUGAGCGAUCAAACAAGCUGGGCACUCUAUCGGGACUGCCGGUGUAAGCCGAGAGGAAGGUGGGGAUGACGUCAAAUCAGCACGGCCCUUACGUCCGGGGCGACACACGUGUUACAAUGGUAGGUACAGAGGGCAGCCACCCAGUGAUGGGGAGCGAAUCUCGAAAGCCUAUCUCAGUUCGGAUUGGAGGCUGAAACUCGCCUCCAUGAAGUUGGAUUCGCUAGUAAUCGCGCAUCAGCCAUGGCGCGGUGAAUACGUUCCCGGGCCUUGUACACACCGCCCGUCAAGCCAUGGGAGUUGGGGGUGCCUGAAGUUCGUGACCGAAAGGAGCGACCUAGGGCAAAACCGAUGACUGGGGCUAAGUCGUAACAAGGUAGCCGUACCGGAAGGUGCGGCUG